UACGAAGGGGGCUAGCGUUGCUCGGAAUCACUGGGCGUAAAGCGCGCGUAGGCGGGUCUUUAAGUCAGGGGUGAAAUCCUGGAGCUCAACUCCAGAACUGCCUUUGAUACUGAAGAUCUUGAGUCCGGGAGAGGUGAGUGGAACUGCGAGUGUAGAGGUGAAAUUCGUAGAUAUUCGCAAGAACACCAGUGGCGAAGGCGGCUCACUGGCCCGAUACUGACGCUGAGGCGCGAAAGCGUGGGGAGCAAACAGG
RNAcentral lists this ribosomal RNA (253 nucleotides) under uncultured bacterium. RNAcentral describes it as "partial 16S ribosomal RNA". It matches the Rfam family "Bacterial small subunit ribosomal RNA", at positions 524 to 776 of the family's 1533-position model. The record is from RNAcentral.